GGGCUUGUGGUUUAGUGGUAUAAUACUCCCUUAGCACCGUUAGAUGCAUUAUCAUGCAGUCUUGCAGCAAAAUGUCAUCGAACAAUCGCCUGGGAGUGGUCCGGGGUUCGAUUCCCCGCGAGUCCA
Annulohypoxylon bovei var. microspora is the source of this 126-nucleotide non-coding RNA. The record is from the annotation of a GenBank genome assembly. Lineage: Eukaryota; Fungi; Ascomycota; Sordariomycetes; Xylariales; Hypoxylaceae.